GUGCUCGCUUUGGCAGCAUAUAUUCUCAAAAUUGGAACAAUACAGAGAAGUUUAGCAUGGCCUGUGUGAAAGGAUGACAUGCAAAUUUGUGAGGAAAGGAAAUUAAAG
This is a small nuclear RNA of Suncus etruscus (white-toothed pygmy shrew), 108 nucleotides long. The record is from RefSeq and is a predicted model, not a curated record. Lineage: Eukaryota; Metazoa; Chordata; Mammalia; Eulipotyphla; Soricidae.